Dreissena polymorpha is the source of this 985-nucleotide long non-coding RNA. RefSeq lists it as uncharacterized. The transcript is spliced from 3 exons. The record is from RefSeq and is a predicted model, not a curated record. NCBI's taxonomy places the organism in Eukaryota, Metazoa, Mollusca, Bivalvia, Myida, Dreissenidae.
GUUCAUCUCUGGAAUUUGCUACGCCCCCUGGUUUCAAAACACUUAAAGGCUUCAUAUAUAUGCGGGCAUGGUGUUGCUUAUAAGAGAGAGAUACCACAUUUACUGCUAAGCAAUCAGCUUCAUAUAUAUGCGGGCAUGGUGUUGCUUAUAAGAGAGAGAUACCACAUUUACUGCUAAGCAAUCAGGUAAAUUGAGUGGUUUCCAUAAAAGUGAACUGAUUGAUGACAUUGUGAUGAUGCUUUGGUUCUAUCCUAGAGGGCAAACAUACAUAACUUCGACACUGCAUGGAACUAUUAAUGUACAGCUUUAUAUUGAUCGGACUUUGACAAAUAACUUGACAUUGAGCUUGCGUGACUUAAUCACGCAAUAUGCAAAUCGUCGUAAUGCCUUACACAUUAUAAUAAAUGACCAUGCAUUAAAAGGGUAUAGACAAACACUGCUUCAAGAUCAAGGUUAAUCUUGAAGGUAAAACGUUUAAACCUUCAUCCUUAUUUUCUACACCUUUAGAAGACUAGAAGUCUUUAAAUAAAACAUGGAUUAUAUAUUAAGUACCCUGCGACGAUGUACACACGUCAUGAGUCACGCUAUCUCAAGGUCAAGUUAAACCGGAGUUUCAAUAGUUUUAACCUCUUUGUUUGUGUCAGCUCCAUAUUUUUUAUGCCUUUUGAAGAAUUUGUUUGACACUUGGACAACACGUUUCGUUAAGUGAGAAAAUUUAAAGAUUACAUGGGUUGUGUGUAAUAGUUAAUAUCACACUGGCAGAUAAAUAAGUGAACAUCCAAUUUGUAUGGUCGGUGGUAAAUAUCCAAUACAAAUAGAAGGAUGUAAAUGAAAAGUUAUUUACCAGAUUUAUGAAAAACAACAUCAAUGAUAUCCGUCCCAUUCUCAUUGUUACCUCAUAAAAUUAAACAAAAUGAUAUUGUGGUUAUAGAUAUCUCUUUGACUGAUGGGCACCAUCAAAGUUUCACAAAUGCUUCAAGUAUUG